GAACUGUAGGACUGUAGGGUGAAGGUCAUCCCAGAGCUCAGCAUUGAAACCAGCCGGAAAUUGUUCAGUUGGGGGAACUAGGGGAAAGGGAACAGUGGUGUGGAGGGCAGAGGCAGUGGUGGGAAGCCUGUGUGUGGCCGACGCAUGCUUUUACGCUGUCAUCACGGCCUUGCUUUCUAUAGCAGGGAUCUGAGAAGCAGGCAGGCAGCUGCUCUGCCCGAGACUGUCAGGAGUUGGUGGAUGUGAAUCCAUGUCUGAAGCCCAAGCUCUCACUACUCUGCUGUCUCCCUGAGGGGUGCAUGAAGGCCCCAGCCCAGCCAGUGACACAGAGGUUGGGAAGACCAGGGCGUGAAGCUUCUGUGCUUGGAGAACAGGAGGGCUUGUGGAGCUGUGGUUGAUGGCGUGUCCAGGAAGCCUGGCCAGGGCUAGGGUGCAGUGGCAUGACCACAGCUCACUGCAGCUUUGACCUCCCAGGCUCCAGCGAUCAACCCACCCCAGCCUCCCGAGUAGCUGGGACUACAGGUCUCUGGAGCAAGAGAAGCCACAUCUGGAUGUGAUGUAGGAUGGGGUAUUCUGGACUUCAAGCUUGAAUCAUGAGUGGUUAAGGCUUUCAGGGUCUUAGGAUGGAGUGAGUAUAUUUUGGGAGCAGGCGUGUCUUCGUCCAUUUUGUGCUGCUGUAACUGAAUACCAAGAUUGCAUAAUUUACAAAGAACAGAAAUUAAUUCUCUCACUGUUCUGAAGGCAAGAUCAAGGCACCAGCAUUUGAUGGGGGCUUUUUUGCUGUGUCCUCAUGUGGAAGAAGAACAGAAGAGAGAGAACCGAUUUUCACAAGCCCCUUUUAUCACAGCUCACCCCUCAACACUGUUGCAUUGGGGAUUAAGUUUCCAACACAUGAAUUUUGUAGGGGACACAUUCAAACCACAGCAGGAAGCCUCUUGAGUAAUUGGGUCCAAGAGGACAGUCUGUAGUAUAUUGUCUUAUUGUUUCCAAUUCCUCACCCAUCCUAUAUUAGAGCUGCCAUAACGGAUGAUCACAAACUCAAAUGACUUAAAACAAUAGAAAUCUACUCUCACAGUUCUGGAGGCCAGAAGUCUGAAAUCAAGGUGACUCUCACAGUUCUGGAGGCCAGAAGUCUGUAAUCAAGGUGCUGGCUCAUUCUGGAGGCUUGGAGGGAGAGUCUGUUCCAUGUGUCUCUUCUGGCUUCUGGUGACUGCUGGCUGUACUAAUCAGCCUGGGCUGCCACUGAAAUGUCAUGGAGGGGCUUACACAACAGAAAUGUAUUCUCACAGUUCUGGAGGUGGGAAGUUCAAAAUCAACAUAC
This 1321-nucleotide long non-coding RNA is filed under the name Homo sapiens (human). RNAcentral's name for it is "HSALNT0331360". Lineage: Eukaryota; Metazoa; Chordata; Mammalia; Primates; Hominidae. The record is from RNAcentral.